GACGAACGCUGGCGGCGUGCUUAACACAUGCAAGUCGAACGGUGAAAGCGGAGCUUGCUCCGCUGGAUCAGUGGCGAACGGGUGAGUAACACGUGGGCAACCUGCCCCUCACUUCGGGAUAACUCCGGGAAACCGGGGCUAAUACCGGAUAUGACCUCCUUGGGCAUCCUUGGAGGUGGAAAGUUUUUCGGUGAGGGAUGGGCCCGCGGCCUAUCAGCUUGUUGGUGAGGCAGUGGCUAACCAAGGCGACGACGGGUAGCCGGCCUGAGAGGGCGACCGGCCACACUGGGGCUGAGACACGGCCCAGACUCCUACGGGAGGCAGCAGUGGGGAAUAUUGCGCAAUGGGCGAAAGCCUGACGCAGCAACGCCGCGUGCGGGAUGACGGCCUUCGGGUUGUAAACCGCUUUCAGCAGGGAAGAAGCCGCAAGGUGACGGUACCUGCAGAAGAAGCACCGGCUAACUACGUGCCAGCCGCCGCGGUAA
RNAcentral lists this ribosomal RNA (485 nucleotides) under uncultured bacterium. RNAcentral describes it as "partial 16S ribosomal RNA". It matches the Rfam family "Bacterial small subunit ribosomal RNA", at positions 28 to 523 of the family's 1533-position model. The record is from RNAcentral.